This 182-nucleotide ribosomal RNA is filed under the name uncultured bacterium. RNAcentral's name for it is "partial 16S ribosomal RNA". It matches the Rfam family "Bacterial small subunit ribosomal RNA", at positions 1319 to 1500 of the family's 1533-position model. The record is from RNAcentral.
CAUGAAGUUGGAAUUGCUAGUAAUCGCGAAUCAGAAUGUCGCGGUGAAUACGUUCCCGGGCCUUGUACACACCGCCCGUCACACCAUGAGAGUCGAUAACACCCGAAGCCUGUGAGCUAACCGCAAGGAGGCAGCAGUCGAAGGUGGGGUUGAUGAUUGGGGUGAAGUCGUAACAAGGUACC